UGGUGGAUUGAUUUGUCUGGUUGAUUCCGAUAACGAACGAGAUCUCUGCAAGAUACCUGGUCUGACAGGGUCUUUUCCCUGGUCAGUCAGUUUCUGGACAGUGCAUGGCAAGUGCAAGGAAGUGGAGGCAAUAACA
RNAcentral lists this ribosomal RNA (136 nucleotides) under uncultured eukaryote. RNAcentral's name for it is "partial 18S ribosomal RNA". It matches the Rfam family "Eukaryotic small subunit ribosomal RNA", at positions 1299 to 1458 of the family's 1831-position model. The record is from RNAcentral.